GACGGGGCCCGCACAAGCGGUGGAGUAUGUGGUUUAAUUCGAUGCAACGCGAAGAACCUUACCUGGUCUUGACAUCCCGGAGACCCUUAGGAAACUAGGGGGUGCUUCCAUCUGGAAGAAUCUGGAGACAGGUGCUGCAUGGCUGUCGUCAGCUCGUGUCGUGAGAUGUUGGGUUAAGUCCCGCAACGAGCGCAACCCUUGCCUUUAGUUGCCAGCAGUUCGGCUGGGCACUCUAAAGGGACUGCCGGUGUUAAACCAGAGGAAGGUGGGGAUGACGUCAAGUCCUCAUGGCCUUUAUGACCAGGGCUACACACGUACUACAAUGGCCGAUACAAAGGGCAGCGACACUGCGAGGUGAAGCCAAUCCCGUAAAAUCGGUCUCAGUCCGGAUUGGAGUCUGCAACUCGACUCCAUGAAGUUGGAAUCGCUAGUAAUCGUGGAUCAGCAUGCCACGGUGAAUACGUUCCCGGGCCUU
RNAcentral lists this ribosomal RNA (475 nucleotides) under uncultured Desulfobulbus sp. Its description in RNAcentral is "bacterial SSU rRNA". It matches the Rfam family "Bacterial small subunit ribosomal RNA", at positions 916 to 1381 of the family's 1533-position model. Lineage: Bacteria; Pseudomonadati; Thermodesulfobacteriota; Desulfobulbia; Desulfobulbales; Desulfobulbaceae. The record is from RNAcentral.